UCAUAGGUCAAUAAUGGAAUUUCUACAUCGUAGGAUUUGGAAACAUUGUGAUGUUUUUCUCAUGAAUAUACGUUUAAAAUAAAUAAACACUAAAAGUACACGCUGACAGUUGAUUACGAUACAUCCAACAAUUUGAGUCAUUACAGUUAAACAUGGAUUAUAAGUGAAAUAUACGCGUAAGAGAAGAUUUUCUCUCGAAAAAACGAACUGUCAACAAUCGGCAUGGAACUUGGAUAUUCGUAUCAAAGGGCUCUGAAUGCAGGAAAAUGACUGAAUAUUACUUAGUCUACAACACUGGGUUAUGAAGAAUUCCAGCCUGCAUUAAAUACUAUGUUGGAUCCUUGAGAGCGGAUUUAACAGCCAUGUCCAUCCACAAGGCAGUCGCAUCUGAUCGAGAUGAUGGGAGUAUUUCAUAUAAAACAUAUUUGACUUGGUUUUUGUUUUUAUAAACCUACUGUAUUCAAUAAUCAAGUGGUGGUGGUGGUGGUGAUGGUGGUGGUGGUGGUGGUGGUGGUGAUGAUGAUGAUGAUGAUGAUGAUGAUGAUGAAUUUUAUUGAUAAAUUUAUUAAUUUUCUUUAUAUAUAUACAUGUAUGUAUCAGCUUGUUGUUGUUUUUUCAAAAUAAUGUCGAGAAAUAUUAAACUGUUUAUAUUUUAUUUUGUAUAUGUAUGGCAGUAUAAUUAUCUAUACUAAUUUGUUAGAAAGGCUUUAAAGUACAACUUUUUUCCUUUACAGCACUAAACAUUCUUGAUGGGUAAAGUACCUGAAGGUGCAUGAAAACCAAAUCAGCAUUGACUCAGCAUUGAGUAGUUAUCAUCUGUGCACACACUACAAGUACAAAGCAUGGGAACAGACCAACCUUCAAAUGGUGAAGAGUGAAGAAUUAUUGUGAAAAAAACUAAUUGUUAGAAUACCAAUGACAAAAUACAACAGAUAUACAUCAAAUUACCCACAGAGAUUGUUUACAUGUUAUAAUAUUUAAAAAAAAACAUUAGUUGAGAACUUUCACUCUGAUAUUUUUGGUGUUCUUGUUUCUUCACAUAUUUUAGUUUAAAAGUACACUCAUUUGUUUUAAACUCUGUAUUCUGAGUUAGUAUCAGCAGUGCUCCAGCUAGCCAGUUUUUCAAUGGCGCAGCGCCCGUGCCCCUUUUCUUACCGCCCUGCCCCCUUUUUGAGUAGUGCCCUUUUCACAAAUGCUCUAUUAACCCCAAAUAUCCCGUUAGUGCCCUUUUUACUAUUGAAAUCAUUUUAAAAGAUUGACAGCCCUUAAUCCGCUGUCAUAAUUGAGACAAAUUACGUAAUACUUAUGAUAAUAGUGUUCCCGCUAGGUGUCACCAUGCUCUCAUUGAUUGCUUAAAAUAUGCCGUACUGCCCUUUCAUCUUUCCAUGUGCCUUGACCAAGUCAUAUGACAGCUAAUUGUGUAUUUGUGUAGUGAGCAGACGACCUGUGUAUUCAUAAUCGGUCAUCUACUAAUCCGAUAAUUAGGAAGAGCCAAAUAGGGAAACAUCGGCAGGAGGCGUGCCUAUCGAAUGUCAGCCAAUCAGAAUAUACAUUGAGAACUCGUUCAACCAAUGAUGAAAGUUCGUAAAAUGCGAUAGAAAAUGCGAAGGGAUGGUGAAAAAUGUUGUGAAGCACAAUUAAAUCUUUUAAAAUAAUUGUUUAUUGUAUUGUACAGACGAGACUUGCCAUUUUCAACAUUGUUGAUUUGAAGCAGACGGCACUGCCGAUAUGUAAUUUUAAAACAUAAGAAAGGUGGCGCUAAUACAAUCAAAUACAUCACCUUUUCAGUAAAUGUUUUGAAAGUUUAUUUAUAAAAUAUUCAUGAUGAAAAUUUCUUUGUAAUCCACAAAAUUAUGUUGAUGCUUUAUUUAGUAUUUACUUAUCAUGUCCACGAUCUUGUCAAAAUUCGCCGAAACCGCCAUUCUAUCAGAACGAUUUUCGGAGUUAUUUUAUCAAUGUUCUAUGUUAAAUAAGUGAUUUUUUAAACCAGGGUAGUGAUUUUUAUUGUCAUUUUAUUCUAAAACAUCAGCAUAUUAAACAUUAUUUUACCAAAGACAAUUAAAUAACAAACAGGCUGAAUGUAACAUUCGUACCCAAACCCGAUCGUACCAAACUAAGAUUCGUCCCCUACAUUUAUUUUUUUGUGUGUAUCUAUUUAUUUGAUGUUUAACUGUGUUUGUUUUUGUCUUCAUCUUACAACUUUUAAAAGAAAUAUUUGACAUUGCACUAAAGAAGAUGCCAAACAAGUACAAUCAUACUACCACAGACAAAAAGACAAAUUUUAAUUUUGAUAUUAAAACACACCCUUCUAAAUUUUGAGAAAAAACAACAACACCAUUUUGUAUAAGUCUGAAAAUCAUGGAAAAUGAUUUAAAUUGAGUAUAAAAACAAAACAAAAUCUAGGGGGAACCCCCCCCCCCCCACAAAAAAACAAACACCUUGUGGCAGGGGUGGACCCCCCCCCCCACAACCACCCCAACCUCUACACGACUCAUGUAGCUUGCCCUUUUCAAAACUCCACCCUGCCCUUUUCAAAUCCUGGCUGGAGCACUGUUAUCAUAAGUAAAAUUCAUUUAUUUGAAAGAGUACAUUUUAUGAAUAAGUCCAAUUAAGCUUUAUAAUUUUUUACAAGAAAAAGGUUGAUUUUUAAGCAUUUUAUUAGCUAUAAAAAUGUAUGGUAACAUGACAUUAUGUAUAUUUUCUUCAAAACUGGACGGUAAACUAUCAUUAAUUGUCUUUUAAAUUGUUCAAUAGACAUCAUAGAUAAUAUCUAAAAUGAUUUCAGCAGCUUGCCUUAUAGUUAACUAUUUUUUAUGAAUUUUAUAAAACUGCUAUAUAUUUUCAAACAUCGAAAAUCUGCUCUAUUCCGAAGAAUCAUAAGAUCAAUCAAAAUGAUUUUUUUCCAUGUGUAUCGAUAAUGUGUUCGUUUGAACUUCUGUUAACUGAAGUUUAUUUUACUAGAAACUGUUGUGUUUAUUUCAUAAUCUCUGAUAAUGCGAAAAAAUUUCAAAUAUAGACAAAAUAUUUACU
This is a long non-coding RNA of Mya arenaria, 3030 nucleotides long. RefSeq lists it as uncharacterized. The transcript is spliced from 2 exons. NCBI's taxonomy places the organism in Eukaryota, Metazoa, Mollusca, Bivalvia, Myida, Myidae. The record is from RefSeq and is a predicted model, not a curated record.